This 437-nucleotide ribosomal RNA is filed under the name uncultured bacterium. RNAcentral describes it as "partial 16S ribosomal RNA". It matches the Rfam family "Bacterial small subunit ribosomal RNA", at positions 28 to 507 of the family's 1533-position model. The record is from RNAcentral.
GAUGAACGCUGGCGGCAUGCUUAACACAUGCCAGUCGGACGGGAAGUGGUGUUUCCUGUGGCGGACGUGUGAGUAACGCGUAAGAACCUGCCCUUUGGAUGGGAACAAUAACUGAAAACGGUUGCUAAUAGCCCGCAGAGCUAGUAGCGAAAGGCGGAAUCCACCCGAGGAGUGGCUUGCGUCUGAUUAGCUUGUUGUUGAGGUAAUAGCUUACCAAGGCGAUGGUCAGUAGUUGGUCCGAGAGGAUGAUCAGCCACACUGGGACUGAGACACGCACCAGACUACCACGGGAGGCAGCCGAGGGGAAUUUGCCGCAAUGCGCGAAAGCCUGACGGAGCAAUGCCGCGGGGAAGUAGAAGGACCAGGGAUCGUGAACUUCUUUUCUAGGAGAAGACACAAUGACGGUACCUGAGCAAUAAGCCACGGCUAACUCUGUG